This 436-nucleotide ribosomal RNA is filed under the name uncultured Paenibacillus sp. RNAcentral describes it as "bacterial SSU rRNA". It matches the Rfam family "Bacterial small subunit ribosomal RNA", at positions 948 to 1382 of the family's 1533-position model. Lineage: Bacteria; Bacillati; Bacillota; Bacilli; Caryophanales; Paenibacillaceae. The record is from RNAcentral.
AAUUCGAAGCAACGCGAAGAACCUUACCAGGUCUUGACAUCCCUGACAACCCGAGAGACUCGGGCGUUCCCCUUCGGGGGACAGGGUGACAGGUGGUGCAUGGUUGUCGUCAGCUCGUGUCGUGAGAUGUUGGGUUUAAGUCCCGCAACGAGCGCAACCCUCGACCUUAGUUGCCAGCAUUCAGUUGGGCACUCUAAGGUGACUGCCGGCUAAAAGUCGGAGGAAGUGGGGAUGACGUCAAAUCAUCAUGCCCCUUAUGACCUGGGCUACACACGUGCUACAAUGGGCGGUACAAAGGGUCGCGAACCCGCGAGGGGGAGCCAAUCCCAAAAAAGCCGCUCUCAGUUCGGAUUGCAGGCUGCAACUCGCCUGCAUGAAGCCGGAAUCGCUAGUAAUCGCGGAUCAGCAUGCCGCGGUGAAUACGUUCCCGGGCCUU